GAAUCCAGGUUCUUGUUUAUUUAGAUUAUUAUGUUGGCCAAACCUCUUACACUGAUUGUUCUGUUCAACCUAAGAUAAAACAAUUAUAAUCUAGGAUAUAAAUUCUCCCCGUCAACUAUAAAAAAGGAUGGAUUUAUGUUUAUUGCAAUACAAAUACACCCUUUUAAAAAUGUAUAACCUUGCCUACACUUUAUGAACAUCUACUUCGGACAUGGCUCCACACAUUCGCCGGCUUCUUUGAAAACAAAUGCACAUGGCUCGCGUAGAAGUGCAUGGGGAAGGGUCGUCUACGAGUUGUUACGACAAUGUUGUGAAAUAUCUACUACGAAGCUUUAGGGGGCGCUGUGUAGAGAAAUGUGCGUGCCAAAACCAAGAAAACAGCGAAGAAAUGCCCGAAGUUGCAUAGUGGGCCUUUAAUAUAGGCCAGGAGGACAGCAGACAAAAUGUUGCUGAAACAACAGGUCAUCCAACCCUACAUUACUGGCCUGGAGACAGAACUGAAAAGGAGGUUCCAGGAGCUGGACAUCCUAGGAGCCUUCCAUGUCCUUAGACCUCAGUCGGCUGCCCUCCCUGACAAUAUGUCCAUUGCACAGCUGCAGACUCUGGCAAAAAAAUUCUGUCCAGACCAAGACAAGGUGCUCCUCCAAGAGUGGUUUUCUUUCAAAAAACAUAUCAUUACAGGGUCAUUACAGGUAUGUGAAAAUCUCUAUCUCUUUCUCUUUCUCUCUUUCUCUUAUGUGCUAUAUCUUUCAUUCAAGAACAAGAGCCAGGAGGAGCUCCUGACUCUGCUGGCGAGUGAGUAUGAUGAGUGGUUAGACCUCUACCCCUG
Molecule: long non-coding RNA, 829 nt
Organism: Gadus morhua (Atlantic cod)
Lineage: Eukaryota; Metazoa; Chordata; Actinopteri; Gadiformes; Gadidae
Source: Ensembl